This 253-nucleotide ribosomal RNA is filed under the name uncultured bacterium. Its description in RNAcentral is "partial 16S ribosomal RNA". It matches the Rfam family "Bacterial small subunit ribosomal RNA", at positions 524 to 776 of the family's 1533-position model. The record is from RNAcentral.
UACGUAGGGGGCAAGCGUUGUCCGGAUUUAUUGGGCGCAAAGCGCUCGCAGGUGGUUCGUCGCGUCGUGCGUGAAAGACCCCGGCUCAACUGGGGGGCGUCGUGCGAAACGGGCGGACUGGAGGCCAGUAGGGGGAUGCGGAAUUCCGGGUGUAGUGGUGGAAUGCGUAGAGAUCCGGAGGAACACCAGCGGCGAAGGCGGCAUCCUGGACUGGUCCUGACACUCAUGAGCGAAAGCGUGGGGAGCGAUCCGG